GGGAAGCAUUGUGGUUUGGAGCUCUGACAGAGUGAUCUGGAGUAGGGAAGAGGCAGUCCUCAAAAGGAAGGUAGCGUUGUUUCCAGGAGAAGGGGGAAAUUAUGCUGAGUAGUUAAAAAUCAAGUGAUGUCCCCUACAGAAAUUGUUUGAGGAAGAAACAGAAGUGGAGAGAGUGAGUGAAGGGAGCGCAAAAUAAACUUAUCCUUAAGCAUCACAAUUUAGCAAAGUCGUUGGAAGAGCCUAGUUUCCAAAUGCCAAAGAUCUGUCCUUUCAAAACUUUUACUCUCUCCUUGAAGAAUGGCAUCCAUGUGGCACUGGGGUAUGUUUCCUGAACAGCUUGUGUAAAAGCAGGCCGCUGGGAGUCCAAGGCUCUGUCCAGGAUUAGAUAACAGGACAUUCUGGCUCUGUCCACCGGCGCCCAGAUGGUGCCCCCUCUCCCUCCUGUUAUGGAACUGCAGAGUAGGGAUCAUGUUGACAAGCUACUGAGACGAUUCCCAACACUGUCUUCUAGACAGAAGCUGGAGGAGAUGCUGAAGAUCUGGUCCUGGCUCUGGGACCCUGGAUUUUUAUCCACCUUGAAAAAUUCUCCUUGAUUUCAGUUCACCUUAAUAUACCUAGAGUUUGACCUUAUAACUGAAUGACCACUUCAAGGAAAAGUGCAGUGGUUCUUGGCGAUGAUAAAUUGCCCACGAUGUGGAGAUGGGGAAGAGAAAUGGAAGAGAAGGUGCCCAAAUGAGGAGGACAUGGACUGAUUGAAGAAUUACUCACCAGCAACAAGGAGUUUACAAUUUUCUUGAAGUUUAAUAAUACAAAGCUCCAAAUUUGGAAAACAACAGUGAAACUCCACAGAUUUCCAGGCUCUGUUCUAGGUGUUAAGGAUUCAAAGAAGAAGUGUAUGCUUCAUGAGUGCGGCUCUCAUCUCUAAACCCUGGAAAUGGCACAGUUCUGGGCACAUAGUGCAACCCCAUAGGUGUUUCUCACAUGAAGGAUGAGUACAGGAAUAAAUAAAUGGACAUCUUGACCCAGCAAUAAAUGGCUGAGGGAAAAGACCCAAAUCUUAAAGGGACAAAUAAUACUCCUACGAGGGACACUUCUAUGAUUUGAAGGAAAGAAAAAUAGAAAAAUAAAGGUCUGUCUUGAUGGAGGAAAGGGAGAAGAGGCUCCUUAUCAGACCCAACUGUGCAACCUGUAUGCCAGUACAGUAUGGAGACCGCCACUACCAGGACUGAAAACACCAAGCCAGGGCAUCCCCUCGGAUGCUUACUCCUACUUAGAGCUUGUGAAUGUACUAUCCAACAUCUGGCCCCAGCAAAUUUUGCAUCUCAGAAUUUCUCCACAGCUCACAUCAUGAUUUUGUAUUCUCUUUGCAUACCUUUCACUUAUUUUCGGGGUGUGGAAGUAAUAUUUCAUUACAGUAUCUGUGAUCCACACAAUGUGAGGAAUAAGGAAAAUUAUUGUCUCCAACUAGAAAAUUAGAUAAUGUAACUAGAUUUCUUUGUAUUUUUCAUUAGCAAUUGCUACUCGUGUGUCAUUCUGAGGGAAAUCAACAAAUUUAAUUUCGUUGCUUUUGGUUUCCUUUGCACUUGUUAAAGAAGAAAGAGGCUAGUGAGAUUUCCAUCCUGGGCCUCUCUGCCCUUGGACAGCAUGGGAGACAGAGGCCAUGCCCUAAGUUUUCCCUAACACAGGAGCUCAGAAGUUGCUCCUGGCUGCUCAGGCAGGUCUUAAGGACAGCUGUCAUCUGUGCCACAACACCAGGCAGGCAAUGAGGACACAGCGUUCACCUCAAGGCAGCUGAGGAAGACUCUGUGACACUGACGUGGUUGCUGGCUCCACAUCCCACACCUGGAAUGUAAACAUGCAGACCAACACCUGUGCGUUGCUGUAAACUGGGCCCUGUGUUGAGGAACAGCGUAGACCCAGGCUCAGUUCCUUGGAGAUAAGCUUGGUUAGCUUCUCUGCAUUUUUCUUGGCCAAGCCUAGCCGUGAUGAAGAACCUGAGCCACAACAAGCAGACAUUCUCUCUCUUUUUUUUCUUUUGAGGAAGAUUAGUCCUGAGCUAACAUCCACAGCCAAUCCUCCUCUUUUUUUGCUGAGGAAGACUGGCCCUGAGCUAACAUCCAUGCCCAUCUUUCUCUAUUUUAUAUGUGGGACGCCUGCCACAGCAUGGCUUGAUAAGCGGUGUGUAGGUCUGCACCUGGGAUCUGAACCAGCACACCCCCGGCCACCGAAGCAGAGCAUGCAAACUUAACUGCUGCACCAUGGGCUGGCCCCAGACAUUCUCAUUUUUAUUUUAACCCUUGUGCUUGUUACAUGGCCCUAGCUGUCCCAGCCCUGCCUCCCUCCACACUCCCUGCCUCAGAAACAACAUUUCUGCAUGGAACUGCAUCCCUUUGUUUUGCUUUCCCCAACUGUGCUGGAAUUGUUUAACCCUUCGUGACAGUCUUAGAGGAAAAUGGCUAUAUGAUGCAUCUUUUAUUUCCUAAGUUAUAACUAUAGAUAAAAAUCUAAUAGAUAACUUUAUUUAUAUAAUUAUAGAUAAUUAUAACCA
Long non-coding RNA from Equus asinus (donkey), 2548 nucleotides. NCBI's taxonomy places the organism in Eukaryota, Metazoa, Chordata, Mammalia, Perissodactyla, Equidae. The record is from Ensembl.